CCAAGCUAACAUGUAUUCCUUUCCAGACUCUAUCUACCCUUUGUUGGGAUUUAUAUUUUUUAAGACCAUAUGAAGUUUGGUGGUAAGUUUUUUUCCACCAGAUUACAAACUCUUCGAGGUCAAGAAUUAUGCCUUUUUUCAUCUUGAUAACCACUUCUCUAUUUUCCUGGUCCCAAUGUCUAAUACAAUGAAGGCUUAGCCCAGGGAAGGUGUUACAAACAAUGUAUUGAGUGAACUGAUGACUGAAAAAUGACUAAGGAACCAGAAUAAGGGAAGGAUAACACAUACUCUCCAGCAUCCAGCCAUAAAUCUGAAAUUGCUUAGUCUAAGAAUGCUUGGAGCCUGGUUGAUCAGAAGUACCCAAAAGAUGCCAGGGCUGGUCUCUGGAAUUUUCCUUCUGUCUUAGCAUGUUUAAAUUUGCAGACAAUCUGUGGAAGGAAUUCAAAAGACUCAAAAGUUCAGGGAUCCUAAGAAUCUGCUAUCUUGAGCCCUCCUGUCUUCAAAUACUUGAUCCUGCAACACUGAGCCCAGAGUAUACACUCAAUGAAUCUCUUUGGAGAAAAGAGGAUGGACAGAACUCAAAUGGUGCCCAAGGAGAGGCAGUCAUGGAUCAUGGAGAUGACCAAAAGAGGUCACUUUUAUUUUCAAGUAAGUUACCAAACCACUGUGACUUAACCUCCCCCCACC
Molecule: long non-coding RNA, 687 nt
Organism: Mustela erminea (ermine)
Lineage: Eukaryota; Metazoa; Chordata; Mammalia; Carnivora; Mustelidae
Exons: 3
Source: RefSeq, a predicted model, not a curated record